Molecule: unclassified non-coding RNA, 320 nt
Filed under: plant metagenome
Description: partial contains 5.8S ribosomal RNA, internal transcribed spacer 2, and large subunit ribosomal RNA
Rfam family: 5.8S ribosomal RNA (bases 1-105)
Source: RNAcentral
GAAAUGCGAUAAGGAAUGUGAAGGGCAGAAGGAAGUGAAGAAGAGAAGAGUUGAACGAACAUUGCGCCCGCCAGUAUUCUGGCGGGCAUGCCUGUUCGAGCGUCAUUACAACCCUCAGGCCCCCGGGCCUGGCGUUGGGGAUCGGCGGAAGCCCCCUGCGGGCACAACGCCGUCCCCCAAAUACAGUGGCGGUCCCGCCGCAGCUUCCAUUGCGUAGUAGCUAACACCUCGCAACUGGAGAGCGGCGCGGCCACGCCGUAAAACACCCAACUUCUGAAUGUUGACCUCGAAUCAGGUAGGAAUACCCGCUGAACUUAAGC